This is a long non-coding RNA of Aegilops tauschii subsp. strangulata, 1015 nucleotides long. RefSeq lists it as uncharacterized. Lineage: Eukaryota; Viridiplantae; Streptophyta; Magnoliopsida; Poales; Poaceae. The record is from RefSeq and is a predicted model, not a curated record.
UAAAGGAGCCUUCAGCCAGCCACACCUCGCAUAGCAAGCACCUCCCACACCUCAGCCUUGCCGGAGCAGUGAAGCAAGCACCUCCCACGUCCCACACAGAUCGAGCAGCGACGUACGCUCGGAUCCAUGGACUCCCCGCAAAAGAAGCUCGGAUCCACCAUGGACGGAGAGAUGCCACAUCUGCUGCCUGUGACUGUGAGCGAGACCGUGUCCAACUCCAAGGAGACGCGGGCCGCUCCUCCUCCGGACGCUGUCGUGAUUGUCAGCGAGUGGGCGUUCUACCCCGGCUUCAUCGCCUUCCUCUUCUACACCCUGCAUUAUGCAAUCACUUCCGCACUGUCCUUGUUCUUUCUGCUGACGGGCGCGGAGGCGGAGGCCGCCAAGGUGAGCGUCCUACACGUCGGGAUGCUGUGCUUUGCCGCACUCCAGGUGGCCGCGGCGGCGGUGGCUCUGCGGCUCCCGCGCCGCCGCGGCUGGGUCCGCAGUCCGCUACGCCUUCGCCUACCUCGCCCUCGCGCUCGCCAUCGUCGGCCACUGCAUGUUCGCCGCUGGAGACCACUUCUUCAGGAUCUUGCGCACCGUCGGCAUCUUCAUCUACGCUGCGGGCGAUGUCCUCUGCUUCCUGGCCCUCCUCCUCGACCUCCUCGGCCUCCUGGGAGGUGAGAAGUAGGACAGAAGCAGGGCAAACAGUAGGCAGGGGAUCAGCUCAUGAGAUGAGGUACUGAUGAGUGCGCAGUUACUUCUAAUUAAGGAAUAAUGUCGAGUAUGCAUUAUGAUGCGAAGACUGAUCUCAGUGCUGGCCGUAUGUGCGAAUCUACUAGCUAGCUAAUGUAAUGUUAAUUAAUUGGAUAAAACAACUAUAUACUACUAGCUAGUUAGUACAUUUGUGUGAUGCGUCUGAAAAUCACCUAGCUAUCUAGAUUGUGGUUGUCUUUGAUGAAUUUGACCUUUUAUCUGUGUGACCAGACAUGAGUUAUAUGAUGAUUAUGGUUAUAUAUAUCUAGUCUCUGCUUAA